Molecule: ribosomal RNA, 445 nt
Filed under: uncultured bacterium
Lineage: Bacteria
Description: partial 16S ribosomal RNA
Rfam family: Bacterial small subunit ribosomal RNA
Source: RNAcentral
GUGAGAAAUAUUGCGCAAUGGAGGCAACUCUGACGCAGCCAUGCCGCGUGCAGGAAGAAGGCGCUACGCGUUGUAAACUGCUUUUAACCGGGAAGAAACCCCAGGACGUGUCCUGGGUUGACGGUACCGGAGGAAUAAGCACCGGCUAACUUCGUGCCAGCAGCCGCGGUAAUACGAAGGGUGCAAGCGUUAUCCGGAUUCAUUGGGUUUAAAGGGUGCGUAGGCGGAGCGUUAAGUCAGUGGUGAAAUCCUGCAGCUUAACUGUAGACUUGCCAUUGAUACUGGCGCUCUUGAGUGCGCUUGAAGUGGGCGGAAUGUGCCGUGUAGCGGUGAAAUGCUUAGAUAUGGCACAGAACACCAAUUGCGAAGGCAGCUCACUAAGGCGAUACUGACGCUGAGGCACGAAAGCGUGGGGAUCGAACAGGAUUAGAUACCCUGGUAGUCC